GACGAACGCUGGCGGCGUGCCUAAUACAUGCAAGUAGAACGCUGAAGAGAGGAGCUUGCUCUUCUUGGAUGAGUUGCGAACGGGUGAGUAACGCGUAGGUAACCUGCCUUGUAGCGGGGGAUAACUAUUGGAAACGAUAGCUAAUACCGCAUAACAAUGGAUGACACAUGUCAUUUAUUUGAAAGGGGCAAUUGCUCCACUACAAGAUGGACCUGCGUUGUAUUAGCUAGUAGGUGAGGUAACGGCUCACCUAGGCGACGAUACAUAGCCGACCUGAGAGGGUGGUCGGCCACACUGGGACUGGGACACGGCCCAGACUCCUACGGGAGGCAGCAGUAGGGAAUCUUCGGCAAUGGGGGCAACCCUGACCGAGCAACGCCGCGGGAGUGAAGAAGGGUCUCGGAUCGUAAAGCUCUGUUGUAAGUCAAGAACGAGUGUGAGAGUGGAAAGUUCACACUGUGACGGUAGCUUACCAGAAAGGGACGGCUAACUACGUG
RNAcentral lists this ribosomal RNA (497 nucleotides) under uncultured bacterium. Its description in RNAcentral is "partial 16S ribosomal RNA". It matches the Rfam family "Bacterial small subunit ribosomal RNA", at positions 28 to 507 of the family's 1533-position model. The record is from RNAcentral.